RNAcentral lists this ribosomal RNA (448 nucleotides) under Brucella melitensis. Its description in RNAcentral is "bacterial SSU rRNA". It matches the Rfam family "Bacterial small subunit ribosomal RNA", at positions 1 to 502 of the family's 1533-position model. The record is from RNAcentral. Lineage: Bacteria; Pseudomonadati; Pseudomonadota; Alphaproteobacteria; Hyphomicrobiales; Brucellaceae.
UUGGAGAGUUUGAUCCUGGCUCAGAACGAACGCUGGCGGCAGGCUUAACACAUGCAAGUCGAGCGCCCCGCAAGGGGAGCGGCAGACGGGUGAGUAACGCGUGGGAACGUACCAUUUGCUACGGAAUAACUCAGGGAAACUUGUGCUAAUACCGUAUGUGCCCUUCGGGGGAAAGAUUUAUCGGCAAAUGAUCGGCCCGCGUUGGAUUAGCUAGUUGGUGGGGUAAAGGCUCACCAAGGCGACGAUCCAUAGCUGGUCUGAGAGGAUGAUCAGCCACACUGGGACUGAGACACGGCCCAGACUCCUACGGGAGGCAGCAGUGGGGAAUAUUGGACAAUGGGCGCAAGCCUGAUCCAGCCAUGCCGCGUGAGUGAUGAAGGCCCUAGGGUUGUAAAGCUCUUUCACCGGUGAAGAUAAUGACGGUAACCGGAGAAGAAGCCGGCUAYCU